GGGGCGGCUUAUACUGCAGUCGAGCGAGCUUGCCUAGAUGAUUUUAGUGCUUGCACUAAAUGAAACUAGAUACAAGCGAGCGGCGGACGGGUGAGUAACACGUGGGUAACCUGCCCAAGAGACUGGGAUAACACCUGGAAACAGAUGCUAAUACCGGAUAACAACACUAGACGCAUGUCUAGAGUUUGAAAGAUGGUUCUGCUAUCACUCUUGGAUGGACCUGCGGUGCAUUAGCUAGUUGGUAAGGUAACGGCUUACCAAGGCAAUGAUGCAUAGCCGAGUUGAGAGACUGAUCGGCCACAUUGGGACUGAGACACGGCCCAAACUCCUACGGGAGGCAGCAGUAGGGAAUCUUCCACAAUGGACGAAAGUCUGAUGGAGCAACGCCGCGUGAGUGAAGAAGGGUUUCGGCUCGUAAAGCUCUGUUGGUAGUGAAGAAAGAUAGAGGUAGUAACUGGCCUUUAUUUGACGGUAAUUACUUAGAAAGUCACGGCUAACUACGUGCCAGCAGCCGCGGUAAUACGUAGGUGGCAAGCGUUGUCCGGAUUUAUUGGGCGUAAAGCGAGUGCAGGCGGUUCAAUAAGUCUGAUGUGAAAGCCUUCGGCUCAACCGGAGAAUUGCAUCAGAAACUGUUGAACUUGAGUGCAGAAGAGGAGAGUGGAACUCCAUGUGUAGCGGUGGAAUGCGUAGAUAUAUGGAAGAACACCAGUGGCGAAGGCGGCCCUCUGGUCUGCAACUGACGCUGAGGCUCGAAAGCAUGGGUAGCGAACAGGAUUAGAUACCCUGGUAGUCCAUGCCGU
Molecule: ribosomal RNA, 800 nt
Filed under: uncultured bacterium
Lineage: Bacteria
Description: bacterial SSU rRNA
Rfam family: Bacterial small subunit ribosomal RNA
Source: RNAcentral